This 1200-nucleotide ribosomal RNA is filed under the name Triticum aestivum (bread wheat). Its description in RNAcentral is "partial small subunit ribosomal RNA". The record is from RNAcentral. Lineage: Eukaryota; Viridiplantae; Streptophyta; Magnoliopsida; Poales; Poaceae.
AUGGCUGUGCUGUCGUCUGCGAGGCGCCUCCUCCCGUGGGGCCGCGCCCCGGCCGGCGGGGUCAGCGGCGGCCUCCGAGCUCUACUCGGGACGGACGGAGGCGGCGGCCGCUCUCUUCUCCCGUCCCGGUGGAAGUCGUCGCAGCCGCAGCUGGACCCCGUCGACAGGUCCGACGAGGAGGGCGGCGGCGACAUCGACUGGGACAACCUCGGCUUCGGGCUCACCCCGACCGACUACAUGUACGUCAUGCGGUGCUCGCAGGAGGAGGGCGGCUUCUCCCGCGGCGAGCUCGCCCGCUACGGCAACAUCGAGCUCAGCCCCUCCUCCGGCGUGCUCAACUACGGGCAGGGGCUGUUCGAGGGGCUCAAGGCGUACCGGAGGGCGGACGGGCCCGGGUACAUGCUGUUCCGGCCGGAGGAGAACGCGCGGCGGAUGCAGCACGGCGCCGGGCGCAUGUGCAUGCCGGCCCCGUCCGUCGAGCAGUUCGUGCACGCCGUCAAGCAGACCGUCCUCGCCAACAGGCGCUGGGUGCCGCCGCAGGGAAAGGGGGCGCUGUACCUCAGGCCGCUGCUCAUCGGGAGCGGGGCGAUCCUCGGGCUGGCGCCGGCGCCCGAGUAUACCUUCAUGAUCUACGCGGCGCCCGUGGGCACAUAUUUCAAGGAAGGCAUGGCGGCGAUAAACCUGCUGGUCGAGGAGGAGAUCCACCGCGCCAUGCCGGGCGGCACCGGCGGGGUCAAGACCAUCUCCAACUACGCGCCGGUGCUCAAGGCGCAGAUGGACGCGAGGAGCAAGGGGUUCGCGGACGUGCUGUACCUGGACUCGGUCCACAAGAGGUACGUGGAGGAGGCCUCCUCCUGCAACCUCUUCGUCGUGAAGGGCGGCGCCGUCGCGACGCCGGCGACGGAGGGGACCAUCCUGCCGGGGGUCACGCGUCGGAGCAUCAUCGAGCUCGCCAGAGACAGCGGCUACCAGGUCGAAGAGCGCCUCGUCUCCAUCGACGAUCUCGUCAGUGCCGACGAAGUGUUCUGCACGGGAACGGCCGUCGGCGUCACCCCGGUGUCCACCAUCACCUACCAAGGGACAAGGUACGAGUUCAGGACCGGGGAGGACACGUUGUCGAAGAAGCUUUACACGGCUCUGACGUCGAUCCAGAUGGGCCUGGCGGAGGACAAGAAGGGAUGGACGGUCGCGGUUGAUUGA